RNAcentral lists this long non-coding RNA (1734 nucleotides) under Vitis vinifera (wine grape). RNAcentral describes it as "long non-coding RNA (VVIN_LNC006627)". Lineage: Eukaryota; Viridiplantae; Streptophyta; Magnoliopsida; Vitales; Vitaceae. The record is from RNAcentral.
AAAUUUCUAUUUAUAAAAGUUUAUAGUAAAAUAUAAACAAUUUAUUUAGGAGGCGUUGGGAUAUACUUAUCAAAGAAAACAAUUUUUUUUUUCUUCCUCUUUUGGGUCCUUGGGCUAUUUAGGAUGAGGUUAAAAAAAUAAUUGGAGGGUCCAACUAAAAAUACAAGCCCAUUGGGUCCUUUCAUUUCAACAAACAAAAGACUGAAAAUGCCCAACUAAAAUGCAAGUCCAUUGGGUACUUUCAUUCCCUUAGUUGGGUGCCUAUUAUGAAGAAUUUAAUUCUUAGCCCAACCUGGUCCAGAUAUUUUUAAGGGGUUCGGGUUCGAGCUUCGUUUUUAUUUGAGGUGAGGCUCAAAAUUCAAGUUGGGCAAGCCAAUGGCCGAAUUUAGGUUAAAAAUAAAUUUGGCACAACCCGGGUACAUGGUGAUUAAAUUUUUAGCUUAAAUAUCAAUUACAAUACUUUAACUUAAACAAAUUGAAGGGGAAAAAAAAAGAAAAAGAAAACCCAAUUUGUGUCCCAUAUUAAAUUUUCAAAAAAUUAUUUAUAUUUUAAAUUAUUAUUUAAUAUAAAAAAUAAUUAAAAACACCUAAGAUUUAUUCUAAAAAUAAUAAUUUAUUUUUAAAACAAAAUUUUAAAAAAAAUAAUUAAAAACAUUUUUUAUAUUUUUUAAACAAUUUUUAAAAUUAAAAUGAAAUAAAAAAUAAUUUUUAGAAACACAAGCAGGAAUUGUUUCCAUCUAUAUUUUUUUAAAAAAUAAAAAUAAAAAUAUGGGUAUGUUUGAUUAUGUUUUUUAAAACUUGUUUUUAAGGUAAAGAAUAAAAAAUAGUUUUUAAAAGCAAUUUUCAGAAAAUAUGCCAAACGGGUCGUAAGAUUGCUUAAUUUGGGUUCUUUUAAAAAAGAUGAAAAAUAUUAAAAUUUGGUUUUUAAAUAAUAUAAAGAUUUAUUUAACUAUAGCUUAAAUUUCUUAUUAAAAUAAAAAAAUUAUUUAAAAUUUUAAUAUUCUUAUUCUGGUGAAUAUGUUACAAUGAUAAAUACUUAGAUAUUAUUUUUUAAACUUAUGGUAAUUUUAAAUAACAAUUAACCAAAUUCCUUAAACUACUUUCUAAUUAAAUUUCCCUUUAAUUAAUUAACAACGAUUUUCUAAAAAAAAAUGGUAGUAAUAUUUAUUUAUUAUAAUAUUAAAAUUUUCAUUUAUAAAAGUUUGUAGUAAAAUAUAAACAAUUUAUUUAGGAGGCGUUGGGAUACACUUCUCAAAGAAAACAUUUUUUUUUUCUUUUGGGUCCUUAGGCUGUUUAGGAUGAGGUUAAAAAAAUAAUUGGAGGGCCCAAAUAAAAAUAUAAGCAUUGGGUCCUUUCAUUCCAACAAACAGAAGACUGAAAAAAACUCAACUAAAAUGCUCCAUUGGGUACUUUUAUUCCCUUAGUUGGAUGCCUAUUAUGAGGAAUUUAAUUUUUAGCCCAACUUGACUCAGAUACUUUUAAGGGGUUCAGGUUCGAGCUUUGCUUUUAUUUGAGGUGAGGCCCAAAAUUCAAGUUGGGCAAGUGAAUGGGCUUCAGGUUAAAAAUAAAUUUGGCACAAAUACAUGGUGAUUAAAUUUUUAGCUUAAAUAUCAAUUACAAUACUUUAACUUAAACAAAUUGAAGGAAAAAAAGAAAAAAGAAAAACCAAUUUGUGUCCCAUAUCAAAGUUUUAAAAAAAUUAUUUAUAUUUUAAAAUAUUAUUUAAUAUAAAAA